Dipodomys ordii (Ord's kangaroo rat) is the source of this 74-nucleotide small nucleolar RNA. Lineage: Eukaryota; Metazoa; Chordata; Mammalia; Rodentia; Heteromyidae. The record is from Ensembl.
UGGCCAAGGAUGAGAACUCAAAUCUGACUGGACUUGCUUCCAUACUGAUGGGUUAAAGGAUUUACCUGAGGCCA